This is a long non-coding RNA of Carassius gibelio (silver crucian carp), 485 nucleotides long. RefSeq lists it as uncharacterized. Lineage: Eukaryota; Metazoa; Chordata; Actinopteri; Cypriniformes; Cyprinidae. The transcript is spliced from 3 exons. The record is from RefSeq and is a predicted model, not a curated record.
CACAGCACACAUAUAAACUUCUGAUCACUGUGACAGAAAACCUCGAGGAUCUUCUCAUGUUUCUGGCAGAUCAUCUCCUGCAGUCGUCCAGUGGCUUCAAUCAAACUGUGUCUCUUUCCUUUAAACCAACUCUCAUGUUGUUCAAGGUGAUUCUGACAGUAAGAGUUCAGACACACCAGACAGGACUUGACGGCUCUGUAUUUUCUUCCAGUACAGACGUCACACUCCACAUCUCCAGCUCCAGCAGGAACCACACUUUGAAGUUUAGUCUUCUUCAGUUUCUCCAUCAUUUCAGCAAACACCACGUUCUUAAAUAAAGCAGGUCUUGGGCUGAAGGUCUGUCUGCACUGAGGACAGCUGUAGACUCUCUUCUGAUCCUCUUCAUCCCAGCAGUCUGUAAUACAGCUCAUACAGUAACUGUGUCCACACUGGAUGGUCACUGGAUCCUUCAGGAGAUCCAGACACACCGGACACAAGAAUUCAUC